AAAUAAGAAGCAAUAUUUGCAUUUAGUUUCGACCUAAAAAUUUGAUUAAUUAUAAAUCCUUAUUUA
Molecule: transfer RNA, 66 nt
Filed under: Vincenzellus ruficollis
Lineage: Eukaryota; Metazoa; Arthropoda; Insecta; Coleoptera; Salpingidae
Description: tRNA-Arg
Source: RNAcentral